RNAcentral lists this transfer RNA (72 nucleotides) under Cotesia glomerata. RNAcentral's name for it is "tRNA-Thr". Lineage: Eukaryota; Metazoa; Arthropoda; Insecta; Hymenoptera; Braconidae. The record is from RNAcentral.
ACUCAGGUAGCUCAACUGGUAGAGUCUUCGGCGCGUAACUAAAUGAUCCGGGUUCGAAUCCCGCUCUGGACU